Molecule: ribosomal RNA, 836 nt
Filed under: Salmonella enterica
Lineage: Bacteria; Pseudomonadati; Pseudomonadota; Gammaproteobacteria; Enterobacterales; Enterobacteriaceae
Also listed under: 1 other name
Description: partial 23S ribosomal RNA
Rfam family: Bacterial large subunit ribosomal RNA
Source: RNAcentral
AGACCCGAAACCCGGUGAUCUAGCCAUGGGCAGGUUGAAGGUUGGGUAACACUAACUGGAGGACCGAACCGACUAAUGUUGAAAAAUUAGCGGAUGACCUGUGGCUGGGGGUGAAAGGCCAAUCAAACCGGGAGAUAGCUGGUUCUCCCCGAAAGCUAUUUAGGUAGCGCCUCGUGAAUUCAUCUCCGGGGGUAGAGCACUGUUUCGGCUAGGGGGCCAUCCCGGCUUACCAACCCGAUGCAAACUGCGAAUACCGGAGAAUGUUAUCACGGGAGACACACGGCGGGUGCUAACGUCCGUCGUGAAGAGGGAAACAACCCAGACCGCCAGCUAAGGUCCCAAAGUCAUGGUUAAGUGGGAAACGAUGUGGGAAGGCCCAGACAGCCAGGAUGUUGGCUUAGAAGCAGCCAUCAUUUAAAGAAAGCGUAAUAGCUCACUGGUCGAGUCGGCCUGCGCGGAAGAUGUAACGGGGCUAAACCAUGCACCGAAGCUGCGGCAGCGACACUCAGGUGUUGUUGGGUAGGGGAGCGUUCUGUAAGCCUGUGAAGGUGUGCUGUGAGGCAUGCUGGAGGUAUCAGAAGUGCGAAUGCUGACAUAAGUAACGAUAAAGCGGGUGAAAAGCCCGCUCGCCGGAAGACCAAGGGUUCCUGUCCAACGUUAAUCGGGGCAGGGUGAGUCGACCCCUAAGGCGAGGCCGAAAGGCGUAGUCGAUGGGAAACGGGUUAAUAUUCCCGUACUUGGUGUUACUGCGAAGGGGGGACGGAGAAGGCUAUGUUGGCCGGGCGACGGUUGUCCCGGUUUAAGCGUGUAGGUGUGUGUUCCAGGUAAAUCCGGUU